AAAAGAAACUAACAAGGAUUCCCCUAGUAGCGGCGAGCGAAGCGGGAAGAGCUCAAAUUUAUAAUCUGGCGCUUUCAGCGUCCGAGUUGUAAUCUCUAGAAGUGUUUUCCGCGUUGGACCGCACAUAAGUCUGUUGGAAUACAGCGGCACAGUGGUGAGACCCCCGUAUACGGUGCGGAUGCCCAAUGCUUUGUGAUACACUUUCGAAGAGUCGAGUUGUUUGGGAAUGCAGCUCAAAUUGGGUGGUAAAUUCCAUCUAAAGCUAAAUAUUGGCGAGAGACCGAUAGCGAACAAGUACCGUGAGGGAAAGAUGAAAAGCACUUUGGAAAGAGAGUUAACAGUACGUGAAAUUGUUGGAAGGGAAACGCUUGAAGUCAGACUUGCUUUUCGGGGUUUACUCCGGUUGGCAGGCCAGCAUCAGUUUUCCGGGGCGGAAAAUCACGGUUAGAAGGUAGCAGUUUCGGCUGUGUUAUAGCUUUCCGUUGGAUACGUCCUGGGGGACUGAGGAACGCAGUGUGCUUUUAGCGAGGGCUUCGGCCCUUUCACACUUUAGGAA
RNAcentral lists this ribosomal RNA (556 nucleotides) under Rhodosporidiobolus fluvialis. RNAcentral describes it as "LSU rRNA". It matches the Rfam family "Eukaryotic large subunit ribosomal RNA", at positions 57 to 617 of the family's 3401-position model. Lineage: Eukaryota; Fungi; Basidiomycota; Microbotryomycetes; Sporidiobolales; Sporidiobolaceae. The record is from RNAcentral.